CGGUUCGAUUGAACUGGCGGAUGCUUUACGUUUAUGCAAGUCGAACGGUGUUACCGACUUCGGUCUGGUGGGCGAGGAAGAACGAAGAGAAUGACUGAACUGUGCUCAUAUGGAUAACUACGCGAGCGUAGCGACACGCAUUACUGUCUUCUGGGGAAAGCGGGGGACCUUCGGGCCUCGCACCGUUAGAGCGGGCCGAUAUCGGAUUAGCUACAGGUAAAUGGCCACCGAAGGCGACGAUCCGUAGCUGGUCGAGAGAAUGACCAGCCACACUGGGACCGAUAUUGUUGCCCAUUCUACGGAGCAAAGAGAAUUUUGGAUAGCUGAGAACUGCCGAUCCAGCCAUAUCCCGCGUGUGCGAUGAAGGCCUUGGUUUGGGAAUAAUUUUCUUAUGGAAGAAUGGCCGGGAUAAUAAUCGUGCAACUGACGGUACCUGCAGAAUAAGCACCGGCUAACCACGUGCCAGCAGCCGCGGUAAUACGUAGGGGUGCGCGUUAAUCGGAAUUACUGCCAGGCGGAAGGCAAGUGCAGGCGGUUCGGAAAGAAAGAUGUGAAAUCCCAGAGCUUAACUUUGGAACUGCAUUUUUAACUACCGAGCUAGAGUGUGUCAGGAGGGAGGUAAUUCCGCGUAGCAGUGAAAUGCGUAGAUAUGCGGAGGAACACCGAUGGCGAAGGCAGCCUCUGGGAUAACACUGACGUCAUGCACGAAAGUGUGGGGAGCAAACAGGAUUAGAUACCCCAGUCCACGCCCUAAAACGACGUCGAAUCAGUUGCUGGGGGCCUUCGGGCCUGGUAGCGCAGCUAACGGUGAAGUGAUCUGCCUGUGUGAGCAUGGUCGCAAGAUUAAACUCAAAGGAAUUGACGGGGACCCGCACAAGCGGUGGAUGAUGUGAUUAAUUUGCUGAUGCAACGCGAAAACCUUACCUACCCUUGACAUGUCUAAACCGAAGAGAUUUGGGAGUGCUCGCAAGAGAACCUGGGAACACAGGUGCUGCAUGGCUGUCGUCAGCUCGUGUCGUGAGAUGCUGGGUUAAGUCCCGCAACGAGCGCAACCCUUUGCCACACUAUUUACACGAAAGGGCACUCUAAUGAGACUGCCGGUGACAAACCGGAGGAAGGUGGGGAUGACGUCAAGUCCUCAUGGCCCUUGCGGUAGGGCUUCAAGACGUCAUACAAUGGUCGGGACAGAGGGUCGCCAACCCGCGAGGGGGAGCCAAUCCCAGAAACCCGAUCGUAGUCCGGAUCGCAGUCUGCAACCUGACUGCGUGAAGUCGGAAUCGCUAGUAAUCGCGGAUCAAAGUAUGUCGCGGUGAAUACGCCCCGGGUCUUGUACACACCGCCCGUCACACCAUGGGAGUGGGUUUUACCAGAAGUAGUUAGCCUAACCGUAAGGAGGGCGAUUACCACGGUAGGAUUCAUGACUGGGGUGAAGUCGUAACAAGGUAG
Molecule: ribosomal RNA, 1446 nt
Filed under: uncultured Bordetella sp.
Lineage: Bacteria; Pseudomonadati; Pseudomonadota; Betaproteobacteria; Burkholderiales; Alcaligenaceae
Description: partial 16S-23S ribosomal RNA intergenic spacer
Rfam family: Bacterial small subunit ribosomal RNA
Source: RNAcentral